RNAcentral lists this transfer RNA (88 nucleotides) under Phycisphaeraceae bacterium. RNAcentral's name for it is "tRNA-Ser". It matches the Rfam family "tRNA". From Rfam's summary of the family: Transfer RNA (tRNA) molecules are approximately 80 nucleotides in length. Their secondary structure includes four short double-helical elements and three loops (D, anti-codon, and T loops). Lineage: Bacteria; Pseudomonadati; Planctomycetota; Phycisphaerae; Phycisphaerales; Phycisphaeraceae. The record is from RNAcentral. RNAcentral also lists the same sequence under 1 other name.
GGAGAGGUGGCAGAGCGGUUGAAUGCGCCGGAUUCGAAAUCCGGUAUGGCGGUUUCCGUCAUCGGGGGUUCGAAUCCCCCCCUCUCCG